RNAcentral lists this ribosomal RNA (595 nucleotides) under uncultured Actinomycetes bacterium. RNAcentral's name for it is "bacterial SSU rRNA". It matches the Rfam family "Bacterial small subunit ribosomal RNA", at positions 73 to 684 of the family's 1533-position model. Lineage: Bacteria; Bacillati; Actinomycetota; Actinomycetes. The record is from RNAcentral.
UCGGGGCUUGCCCCGGGUGGAGAGCGGCGAACGGGUGAGGAACACGUGAGGAACCUGCCCCGAAGACCGGGAUAACACCGGGAAACCGGUGCUAAUACCGGAUGCCCUCACCGGAUCACAAGAUGCGGUGAGGAAAUGGAUUCCGCUUCGGGAUGGUCUCGCGGCCUAUCAGCUUGUUGGUGGGGUAACGGCCUACCAAGGCUUCGACGGGUAGCUGGUCUGAGAGGAUGUCCAGCCACACUGGGACUGAGACACGGCCCAGACUCCUACGGGAGGCAGCAGUAGGGAAUCUUGCGCAAUGGGCGAAAGCCUGACGCAGCGACGCCGCGCGCGGGAUGAAGGCCUUCGGGUUGUAAACCGCUUUCAGCAGGGACGAAAUUGACGGUACCUGCAGAAGAAGGCCCGGCCAACUACGUGCCAGCAGCCGCGGUAAUACGUAGGGGCCAAGCGUUGUCCGGAUUUAUUGGGCGUAAAGAGCUCGUAGGCGGUUCGGUAAGUCGGAUGUGAAAUCUCCACGCUCAACGUGGAGGCGCCAUCCGGUACUGCCGUGACUCGAGUCCGGUAGGGGAGUGUGGAAUUCCCGGUGUAGCGGUGA